UUUAUGGAGAGUUUGAUCCUGGCUCAGGAUGAACGCUGGCGGCGUGCCUAAUACAUGCAAGUCGAGCGAACGGACGAGAAGCUUGCUUCUCUGAUGUUAGCGGCGGACGGGUGAGUAACACGUGGAUAACCUACCUAUAAGACUGGGAUAACUUCGGGAAACCGGAGCUAAUACCGGAUAAUAUUUUGAACCGCAUGGUUCAAAAGUGAAAGACGGUCUUGCUGUCACUUAUAGAUGGAUCCGCGCUGCAUUAGCUAGUUGGUAAGG
Molecule: ribosomal RNA, 267 nt
Filed under: Staphylococcus aureus
Lineage: Bacteria; Bacillati; Bacillota; Bacilli; Caryophanales; Staphylococcaceae
Description: partial 16S ribosomal RNA
Rfam family: Bacterial small subunit ribosomal RNA
Source: RNAcentral